AGAGUUUGAUCCUGGCUCAGAUUGAACGCUGGCGGUAUGCUUAACACAUGCAAGUCGAACGGAAACGAUACUAGCUUGCUAGUAGGCGUCGAGUGGCGGACGGGUGAGUAACGCGUAGGAAUCUGCCUGAUAGUGGGGGAUAGCCCGAAGAAAUUCGGAUUAAUACCGCAUAAUCUAUUCGUAGUAAAGUGGGGGACUUUCGANCCUCACGCUAUCAGAUGACCCUGCGUAAGAUUAGCUUGUUGGUGGGGUAAAAGCCCACCAAGGCGACGAUCUUUAGCUGGUCUGAGAGGAUGAUCAGCCACAUCGGGACUGAGACACGGCCCGAACUCCUNCNCCCANCCACCANUGGGGAAUAUUGGACAAUGGGGGCAACCCUGAUCCAGCAAUACCGCGUGUGUGAAGAAGNCCUGAGGGUUGUAAA
This 424-nucleotide ribosomal RNA is filed under the name uncultured bacterium. Its description in RNAcentral is "bacterial SSU rRNA". It matches the Rfam family "Bacterial small subunit ribosomal RNA", at positions 8 to 429 of the family's 1533-position model. The record is from RNAcentral.